Molecule: unclassified non-coding RNA, 253 nt
Filed under: uncultured Parcubacteria group bacterium
Lineage: Bacteria
Description: contains 16S-23S intergenic spacer region
Rfam family: Bacterial small subunit ribosomal RNA
Source: RNAcentral
UACGAGUGCCCCAAGCGUUAUCCGGAAUUACUGGGCGUAAAGGGUGUGUAGGUGGUGAUGUUAGUCUCCUGUAAAAUUCUUCGGCUUAACCGGGGGCGCGCGGGGGAAACGGCAUUACUUGAGGGUGCGAGGGGCUGAUGGAACUCAUGGAGUAGGGGUGAAAUCCGUUGAUAUCAUGGGGAACACCGAAAGCGAAGGCAGUCAGCUGGCGCAUUCCUGACACUGAAACACGAAAGCGUAGGUAGCGAAUGGG